GAUGAACGCUGGCGGCGUGCUUAACACAUGCAAGUCGAACGAUUAAAGCCCCUUCGGGGGUGUAUAGAGUGGCGAACGGGUGAGUAACACGUGGGCAAUCUGCCCCUCACUUCGGGAUAACUCAGGGAAACUUGAGCUAAUACCGGAUACUCCGAACUGAUCGCAUGGUCGGUUCGGGAAAGCUCCGACGGUGAGGGAUGAGCCCGCGGCCCAUUAGCUUGUUGGUAGGGUAACGGCCUACCAAGGCGACGAUGGGUAGCCGAGCUGAGGGGCUGAUCGGCCACAGUGGGACUGAGACACGGCGCAGACUCCUACGGGAGGCAGCAGUGGGGAAUUUUGCGCAAUGGGCGAAAGCCUGACGCAGCAACGCCGCGUGCGGGAUGAAGGCUCUCGGGUCGUAAACCGCUUUCAGCAGGGAUGAAAUUGACAGUACCUGCAGAAGAAGCCCCGGCUAAAUACGUGCCAGCCGCCGCCGUAA
RNAcentral lists this ribosomal RNA (478 nucleotides) under uncultured bacterium. RNAcentral describes it as "partial 16S ribosomal RNA". It matches the Rfam family "Bacterial small subunit ribosomal RNA", at positions 28 to 523 of the family's 1533-position model. The record is from RNAcentral.